GCCUGGGUGGCUCAGUCAGAAGAGCAUGAGACUCUUGAUCUCAGGUUGUGAGUUGGAGCCCCACCUUGGUG
Molecule: transfer RNA, 71 nt
Filed under: Felis catus (domestic cat)
Lineage: Eukaryota; Metazoa; Chordata; Mammalia; Carnivora; Felidae
Rfam family: tRNA
About the family: Transfer RNA (tRNA) molecules are approximately 80 nucleotides in length. Their secondary structure includes four short double-helical elements and three loops (D, anti-codon, and T loops).
Source: Rfam by way of RNAcentral